Transfer RNA from Thecamonas trahens ATCC 50062, 73 nucleotides. It matches the Rfam family "tRNA". From Rfam's summary of the family: Transfer RNA (tRNA) molecules are approximately 80 nucleotides in length. Lineage: Eukaryota; Apusomonadida; Apusomonadidae. The record is from Rfam.
GCCUCGGUAGCUCAGUUGGUAGAGCGUGCGACUGAAGUUCGCAAGGUCGGGGAUUCGAUCACCCCCUGGGGCA